RNAcentral lists this ribosomal RNA (497 nucleotides) under uncultured bacterium. RNAcentral's name for it is "partial 16S ribosomal RNA". It matches the Rfam family "Bacterial small subunit ribosomal RNA", at positions 28 to 507 of the family's 1533-position model. The record is from RNAcentral.
GAUGAACGCUGGCGGCGUGCCUAAUACAUGCAAGUCGAGCGAACAGACGAGGAGCUUGCUCCUCUGACGUUAGCGGCGGACGGGUGAGUAACACGUGGAUAACCUACCUAUAAGACUGGGAUAACUUCGGGAAACCGGCGCUAAUACCGGAUAAUAUAUUGAACCGCAUGGUUCAAUAGUGAAAGACGGUUUUGCUGUCACUUCUAGAUGGUUCCGCGCCGCAUUAGCUAGUUGGUAAGGUAACGGCUUACCAAGGCAACGAUGCGUAGCCGACCUGAGAGGGUGAUCGGCCACACUGGAACUGAGACACGGUCCAGACUCCUACGGGAGGCAGCAGUAGGGAAUCUUCCGCAAUGGGCGAAAGCCUGACGGAGCAACGCCGCGUGAGUGAUGAAGGUCUUCGGAUCGUAAAACUCUGUUAUUAGGGAAGAACAAAUGUGUAAGUAACUAUGCACGUCUUGACGGUACCUAAUCAGAAAGCCACGGCUAACUACGUG